AAAUAGGUGCCACUAGGCACCACUUCAGCGUAACAGUGAAUAAACGG
Molecule: non-coding RNA, 47 nt
Organism: Nelumbo nucifera (sacred lotus)
Lineage: Eukaryota; Viridiplantae; Streptophyta; Magnoliopsida; Proteales; Nelumbonaceae
Source: Rfam